This is a small nuclear RNA of Nannospalax galili (Upper Galilee mountains blind mole rat), 104 nucleotides long. The record is from Ensembl. Lineage: Eukaryota; Metazoa; Chordata; Mammalia; Rodentia; Spalacidae.
GGUGCUUCUGCAGACCAUGUACUAAAAUUAGAACAGCACAGAGAAGAUUAGCAUGGCCCCUGAGCAAGGAUGACAUGCAAAUUCAUGAAGUGGUCCAUAUUUUU